Molecule: microRNA precursor, 88 nt
Filed under: Papilio machaon (common yellow swallowtail)
Lineage: Eukaryota; Metazoa; Arthropoda; Insecta; Lepidoptera; Papilionidae
Description: mir-2780 microRNA precursor family
Rfam family: mir-2780 microRNA precursor family
Source: Rfam by way of RNAcentral
CCACGGUGAAAAGGGUGUUAUAUGAAGACUUAGGGCUUCGUGUACAUCGAAGAAAAACAGGACAUCGUUUGAAUAUUCGUCUAAUGGA